AGCAGCCGCGGUAAUUCCAGCUCCAAUAGCGUAUAUUAAAGUUGUUGCAGUUAAAAAGCUCGUAGUUGAAUUUCGGGAUUAGUACGCUGGUCGUGCCUUCGGUAUGUACUGGUGCUACUGGUUCCUACCUUCUGACGAACCGUCAUGUCAUUAAUUUGGUGUGGCGGGGAAUCAGGACUGUUACUUUGAAAAAAAUAGAGUGUUUAAAGCAGGCUCGCGCUUGAAUACAUUAGCAUGGAAUAAUGAAAUAGGACGUUCGAUCCUAUUUUGUUGGUUUCUAGGAUUGACGUAAUGAUUAAUAGGGAUAGUUGGGGGCAUUAGUAUUCAAUUGUCAGAGGUGAAAUUCUUGGAUUUAU
This 356-nucleotide ribosomal RNA is filed under the name uncultured Glomeraceae. Its description in RNAcentral is "SSU rRNA". It matches the Rfam family "Eukaryotic small subunit ribosomal RNA", at positions 569 to 929 of the family's 1831-position model. The record is from RNAcentral. Lineage: Eukaryota; Fungi; Glomeromycota; Glomeromycetes; Glomerales; Glomeraceae.